This 482-nucleotide long non-coding RNA is filed under the name Mytilus galloprovincialis (Mediterranean mussel). Lineage: Eukaryota; Metazoa; Mollusca; Bivalvia; Mytilida; Mytilidae. The record is from RNAcentral.
AUUUUCUUAUGUGGUAGUAUAAAGAGAUCAAAGACAGAUAGACACUUCAUAACAUGAGAAAUCUGCUUACAAUUAUGGAGAAUCCAGGUCAUCUAUCUUCUGAAAUAUGUAGCAUUAUAGUUUACAGAGUUGCCAGAUUGUAAUCCCGAUUUCACACAUUCAGCGACGAUCUUUGUAGGCAAGAGAAUAAAAGAACAGUUCCAAUGUCCCCAGUAUUGCAAUUGUUUAAUCUAUUCAAAGUACAAGGGCCAUAACUUAAUAAAUGGAGAAUGUGUCCAUGAAUAUCAGAGGACAAUGCUGGCACAUCAAGUUAUAAACUGAAGGACUGUAAAAGUGAAGAUAUCCAAAUUUGUAAUUGUGAUCAGAGUUCUAUUGUAAUAAGUAUUGUGUAUAAGUUCCAUGGCAUUUGUUUGAAGUUAACUUAAGUUAGGGAAUUAAAACGAAAAAUUCAGCAAUGUUUCCAUUUGUAAAGGGGCAUAACU